AUGCAAGCGUUAUCCGGAAUGAUUGGGCGUAAAGCGUCCGCAGGUGGCUAUGUAAGUCUGCUGUUAAAGAGUCUGGCUCAACCAGAUAAAGGCAGUGGAAACUACAUGGCUAGAGUGCGUUCGGGGCAGAGGGAAUUCCUGGUGUAGCGGUGAAAUGCGUAGAGAUCAGGAAGAACACCGGUGGCGAAAGCGCUCUGCUAGGCCGCAACUGACACUGAGGGACGAAAGCUAGGGGAGCGAAUGGG
RNAcentral lists this ribosomal RNA (245 nucleotides) under uncultured bacterium. RNAcentral's name for it is "partial 16S ribosomal RNA". It matches the Rfam family "Bacterial small subunit ribosomal RNA", at positions 532 to 776 of the family's 1533-position model. The record is from RNAcentral.